AGUGAACGCUGGCGGUAGGCCUAACACAUGCAAGUCGAACGGCAGCACAGUAAGAGCUUGCUCUUACGGGUGGCGAGUGGCGGACGGGUGAGGAAUACAUCGGAAUCUACUUUUUCGUGGGGGAUAACGUAGGGAAACUUACGCUAAUACCGCAUACGACCUACGGGUGAAAGCAGGGGAUCUUCGGACCUUGCGCGAUUGAAUGAGCCGAUGUCGGAUUAGCUAGUUGGCGGGGUAAAGGCCCACCAAGGCGACGAUCCGUAGCUGGUCUGAGAGGAUGAUCAGCCACACUGGAACUGAGACACGGUCCAGACUCCUACGGGAGGCAGCAGUGGGGAAUAUUGGACAAUGGGCGCAAGCCUGACCCAGCCAUACCGCGUGGGUGAAGAAGGCCUUCGGGUUGUAAAGCCCUUUUGUUGGGAAAGAAAAGCAGCAGGUUAAUACCCCGCUGUUCUGACGGUACCCAAAGAAUAAACACCGGCUAACUUCGU
RNAcentral lists this ribosomal RNA (491 nucleotides) under uncultured bacterium. RNAcentral describes it as "partial 16S ribosomal RNA". It matches the Rfam family "Bacterial small subunit ribosomal RNA", at positions 29 to 506 of the family's 1533-position model. The record is from RNAcentral.